CGCCGCCAUUUUAGCCCUGGAAUUGGGUGGUGACUGACCACAAAAUGGCACACGGAGGCUGCAGCUAUGUUAGGCAGGGCAGAAGGAGGCAGAAGGAGAGCCACCCAGUUGACUUAUGUUGAAGGCGGACAUAGGAAAAGCAGAUGAAAGACUAAAACAGAGAUGAAAUGGCCUUUAAGCACAGAGAGGAAGAAAAAAGGAAAAAAAGAAGGAAAAGUACAUUUCACACCACCCUCACAAGAUUGCUGCUAAAAUAAAAUCAAUGAGUAGAAGCUCUCCACACUGUACAUUUCUAGAACUAUGAUACCUAGAAAAAUAGCAUCAUUUAAAUAUAAAUACACCAAGCUCUUUGCAAACUUGAGGCUUUCCCUUUAGCAGAUUUUCCAUCACAGGUACCUACCAUACUAAUAUUUGCGUGACAUCCACCAUCAUAGGAACAUGAAGUCCUACAGAGACAAAGACCCUGCAUCUAAUUUACAGUGAGACGAGAAUUGUUCUUGCAAAGUUAUAAAACAAAAUACUGAAGUCAAUUUGAAGUUUGGCUUACAUAAAGAUGGCAAAAUAAUAUUUAGAUA
Molecule: non-coding RNA, 575 nt
Organism: Phalacrocorax carbo (great cormorant)
Lineage: Eukaryota; Metazoa; Chordata; Aves; Suliformes; Phalacrocoracidae
Source: RefSeq, a predicted model, not a curated record